Small nucleolar RNA from Camelus dromedarius (Arabian camel), 90 nucleotides. NCBI's taxonomy places the organism in Eukaryota, Metazoa, Chordata, Mammalia, Artiodactyla, Camelidae. The record is from Ensembl.
UUCAGCCAAUGAUGUUUCUAUUCAAAAUGUCUGAAUCUGUCUGAAGCAUCCCAGUGAUGCAACCACUGUGUAAAAACAUUGCCUCUUUCA